GCGGGAGUAACUCAGUGGUAGAGUGCAACCUUGCCAAGGUUGAAGUCGCCGGUUCAAAUCCGGUCUCCCGCUCUA
This 75-nucleotide transfer RNA is filed under the name Persicimonas caeni. Its description in RNAcentral is "Bradymonadales bacterium YN101 tRNA-Gly". It matches the Rfam family "tRNA". From Rfam's summary of the family: Transfer RNA (tRNA) molecules are approximately 80 nucleotides in length. Their secondary structure includes four short double-helical elements and three loops (D, anti-codon, and T loops). Lineage: Bacteria; Deltaproteobacteria; Bradymonadales; Bradymonadaceae. The record is from RNAcentral.